This 465-nucleotide ribosomal RNA is filed under the name Vreelandella stevensii. RNAcentral's name for it is "partial 16S ribosomal RNA". It matches the Rfam family "Bacterial small subunit ribosomal RNA", at positions 338 to 795 of the family's 1533-position model. Lineage: Bacteria; Pseudomonadati; Pseudomonadota; Gammaproteobacteria; Oceanospirillales; Halomonadaceae. The record is from RNAcentral.
CCUACGGGCGGCUGCAGUGGGGAAUAUUGGACAAUGGGCGAAAGCCUGAUCCAGCCAUGCCGCGUGUGUGAAGAAGGCCUUCGGGUUGUAAAGCACUUUCAGUGGGGAAGAAAGCCUUGGGGCUAAUACCCUCGAGGAAGGACAUCACCCACAGAAGAAGCACCGGCUAACUCCGUGCCAGCAGCCGCGGUAAUACGGAGGGUGCGAGCGUUAAUCGGAAUUACUGGGCGUAAAGCGCGCGUAGGCGGUCUGAUAAGCCGGUUGUGAAAGCCCCGGGCUCAACCUGGGAACGGCAUCCGGAACUGUGAGACUAGAGUGCAGGAGAGGAAGGUAGAAUUCCCGGUGUAGCGGUGAAAUGCGUAGAGAUCGGGAGGAAUACCAGUGGCGAAGGCGGCCUUCUGGACUGACACUGACGCUGAGGUGCGAAAGCGUGGGUAGCAAACAGGAUUAGAUACCCGGGUAGUC